Molecule: non-coding RNA, 43 nt
Filed under: Trypanosoma brucei brucei
Lineage: Eukaryota; Euglenozoa; Kinetoplastea; Trypanosomatida; Trypanosomatidae
Source: RNAcentral
AAAAACAACGUGACAUCUAAGUGAGGUUAUAUGAGUAAAUUAG